ACAAGUCAGGGGCAUUCAAGCAUGUAGGAGGGAGUUUAAAGAACUUUAAGGGAGAGUGUGCAUUUUAUUUGACAAAUGUAAAUAGCAGUGUAUACCAGUACUGAUUGAAUACAUUUGGAAAGUAACAGUUAGUUUGCAGACUGUCUCUCCCAGCAUGAGAUACUGCAGGGACAUGCUUGGAUGCCCCUAGACAUGCUUGGAUGCCCUAGGCAAAUGCCUAGCCUGCCUAUAGCUAAGGCCGGCUCUGUGCAAAGGAUCUAUUCACAUGGGCGAUCGCAAAAAGAUUGACAAAAAGAGGCCGUUUGUGGGUGUCAACUGACUGUUUUCAGGGAGUGUCUGACGUCAGCUUCAGCCCCGAUCAUCAGGAUUCCAUUGCACAGGAAGAAGCAAGAUGUGUCUUUUUUUCAGACGGAAAUGUGAACAUCAGUGAACUUAAUCCAAGACAUUCCAGUGAACCAGCUUCCAUCCAGUCCAUCUGAAACAGAUAUUGAAUCCUAGGUAGCAGCAAAGAAAACGGGAUCGGUGUCGUGUCAACCCAUCUAGAGGGAAUGGUCUUUUUGGAUGCCAUGACCAAUUUGUUAAGCAACAGUCGUGCCCCUUUAGAUAAGACCAUACCAUCUCCCUGUGGUGUCAAAAUAAACCUGUAAGUCAGUCCAACAUUGUGUGACUAUCGGGUAGUCCCACAAACAAUGUAUGAUGUCCACAUUUGGAGAAUCACACGUAAAACAAUUAGAGUCUGCGGAAUAUCCUGUUAGGAAGCGGAAUUUAGGCGUACGUUGGGGGUAAUUCUGAGUUGAUCGCAGCAGCAAGUUUGUUAGCAAUUGGGCAAAACCAUGUGCACUGCAGGGGGGCAGAUAUAACAUUUGCAGAGAGAGUUAGAUUUGGGUUGGUUAUUUUGUUUCUGUGCAGGGUAACUGCUAACAAAAUUGCUGCAGCGAUCAACUCAGAAUUAGGCCCAAUAUGCCUUGUGGAGAAUUCUGUGUAUGUGAACGCCACCAGUUGUUUAUUCAUCUGUAAAUAGGGUGAGAGAAUCUUUUUCAUGGAGAGAUUAGGAAAGUCUAUCUGCCAUUUUAAUAACCCAACUGUGUUGGACUCUAUGUUAAGUGUUUUCCUGAAAUGGGAAUAAAUGUGUGAAGUAGUAAUGAU
Long non-coding RNA from Pseudophryne corroboree (corroboree frog), 1146 nucleotides. RefSeq lists it as uncharacterized. Lineage: Eukaryota; Metazoa; Chordata; Amphibia; Anura; Myobatrachidae. The record is from RefSeq and is a predicted model, not a curated record. The transcript has 3 exons.